GAUGAACGCUGGCGGCGUGCUUAACACAUGCAAGUCGAACGGUGAAGCUCCAGCUUGCUGGAGUGGAUCAGUGGCGAACGGGUGAGUAACACGUGAGCAACCUGCCCCUGACUCUGGGAUAACAGCCGGAAACGGCUGCUAAUACCGGAUAUGCACCAUGAACGCAUGUUCUGUGGUGGGAAAGAUUUUUCGGUUGGGGAUGGGCUCGCGGCCUAUCAGCUUGUUGGUGAGGUAAUGGCUCACCAAGGCGUCGACGGGUAGCCGGCCUGAGAGGGUGACCGGCCACACUGGGACUGAGACACGGCCCAGACUCCUACGGGAGGCAGCAGUGGGGAAUAUUGCACAAUGGGCGAAAGCCUGAUGCAGCAACGCCGCGUGAGGGAUGACGGCCUUCGGGUUGUAUACCUCUUUUAGCAGGGAAGAAGCGAGAGUGACGGUACCUGCAGAAAAAGCGCCGGCUAACUACGUG
This 469-nucleotide ribosomal RNA is filed under the name uncultured bacterium. Its description in RNAcentral is "partial 16S ribosomal RNA". It matches the Rfam family "Bacterial small subunit ribosomal RNA", at positions 28 to 507 of the family's 1533-position model. The record is from RNAcentral.